UGGGGAAUUUUGGACAAUGGGCGAAAGCCUGAUCCAGCAAUGCCGCGUGUGUGAAGAAGGCCUUCGGGUUGUAAAGCACUUUUGUCCGGAAAGAAAUCCUUGGCUCUAAUACAGUCGGGGGAUGACGGUACCGGAAGAAUAAGCACCGGCUAACUACGUGCCAGCAGCCGCGGUAAUACGUAGGGUGCAAGCGUUAAUCGGAAUUACUGGGCGUAAAGCGUGCGCAGGCGGUUUGCUAAGACCGAUGUGAAAUCCCCGGGCUCAACCUGGGAACUGCAUUGGUGACUGGCAGGCUAGAGUAUGGCAGAGGGGGGUAGAAUUCCACGUGUAGCAGUGAAAUGCGUAGAGAUGUGGAGGAAUACCGAUGGCGAAGGCAGCCCCCUGGGCCAAAUACUGACGCUCAUGCACGAAAGCGUGGGGAGCAAACAGGAUUAGAUACCCUGGUAGUCCACGCCCUAAACGAUGUCAACUAGUUGUGGGGAUUCAUUUCCUUAGUAACGUAGCUAACGCGUGAAGUUGACCGCCUGUGGAGUACGGUCGCAAGAUUAAAACUUAAAGGAAUUGACGGGGUCAUAGCUGUUUCCU
RNAcentral lists this ribosomal RNA (585 nucleotides) under uncultured bacterium. RNAcentral's name for it is "partial 16S ribosomal RNA". It matches the Rfam family "Bacterial small subunit ribosomal RNA", at positions 355 to 1375 of the family's 1533-position model. The record is from RNAcentral.